Molecule: ribosomal RNA, 221 nt
Filed under: uncultured bacterium
Lineage: Bacteria
Description: partial 16S ribosomal RNA
Rfam family: Bacterial small subunit ribosomal RNA
Source: RNAcentral
CGUGUGGGCAACCUGCCCUGUACUGGGGAAUAAUCAUUGGAAACGAUGACUAAUACCGCAUGUGGUCCUCGGAAGGCAUCUUCUGAGGAAGAAAGGAUUUAUUCGGUACAGGAUGGGCCCGCAUCUGAUUAGCUAGUUGGUGAGAUAACAGCCCACCAAGGCGACGAUCAGUAGCCGACCUGAGAGGGUGAUCGGCCACAUUGGGACUGAGACACGGCCAA